GAUGAACGCUGGCGGCGUGCCUAAUACAUGCAAGUCGAGCGAACAGACGAGGAGCUUGCUCCUCUGACGUUAGCGGCGGACGGGUGAGUAACACGUGGAUAACCUACCUAUAAGACUGGGAUAACUUCGGGAAACCGGAGCUAAUACCGGAUAACAUGUUGAACCGCAUGGUUUAACAGUGAAAGACGGUCUUGCUGUCACUUAUAGAUGGAUCCGCGCCGCAUUAGCUAGUUGGUAAGGUAACGGCUUACCAAGGCAACGAUGCGCAGCCGACCUGAGAGGGUGAUCGGCCACACUGGAACUGAGACACGGUCCAGACUCCUACGGGAGGCAGCAGUAGGGAAUCUUCCGCAAUGGGCGAAAGCCUGACGGAGCAACGCCGCGUGAGUGAAGAAGGCCUUCGGAUCGUAAAACUCUGUUAUUAGGGAAGAACAAAUGUGUAAGUAACUAUGCACGUCUUGACGGUACCUAAUCAGAAAGCCACGGCUAACUACGUG
This 497-nucleotide ribosomal RNA is filed under the name uncultured bacterium. RNAcentral describes it as "partial 16S ribosomal RNA". It matches the Rfam family "Bacterial small subunit ribosomal RNA", at positions 28 to 507 of the family's 1533-position model. The record is from RNAcentral.